This 494-nucleotide ribosomal RNA is filed under the name uncultured bacterium. RNAcentral's name for it is "partial 16S ribosomal RNA". It matches the Rfam family "Bacterial small subunit ribosomal RNA", at positions 28 to 507 of the family's 1533-position model. The record is from RNAcentral.
GACGAACGCUGGCGGCGCGCUUAACACAUGCAAGUCGAACGGAAAGGCCUGCUUUCCCUUGUGGAUUGCGGGUACUCGAGUGGCGAACGGGUGAGUAACACGUGAGUGAUCUGCCCCCAACUUGGGUAUAAGCCUGGGAAACUGGGUCUAAUUCCCGAUAGGACUGCAGGGUGGUGCCUGUGGUGGAAAACGAUUUUCUAGAGGUUGGGGAUGAGCUCGCGGCCUAUCAGCUUGUUGGUGGGGGAAUGGCCUACCAAGGCGGCGACGGGUAGCCGGCCUGGGAUGGUGGACGUCCGCAUUGGGACUGCGAUACGGCCCAGACUCCUACGGGAGGCAGCAGUGGGGAAUAUUGCACAAUGGGCGGAAGCCUGAUGCAGCGACGCCGCGUGGGGGAUGACGGCCUUCGGGUUGUAAACUCCUUUCGACCGCGAGGAAGCCACCUGGUUGGAAGGGUGGUGACGGUAGUGGUAGAAGAAGCACCGGCUAACUACGUG